RNAcentral lists this ribosomal RNA (253 nucleotides) under uncultured bacterium. Its description in RNAcentral is "partial 16S ribosomal RNA". It matches the Rfam family "Bacterial small subunit ribosomal RNA", at positions 524 to 776 of the family's 1533-position model. The record is from RNAcentral.
UACGUAGGGGGCAAGCGUUGUCCGGAUUUAUUGGGCGUAAAGAGCGUGUAGGCGGCCAGGUAGGUCCGUUGUGAAAACUCGAGGCUCAACCUCGAGCUGUCGAUGGAAACCAUCUGGCUAGAGUCCGGAAGAGGAGAGUGGAAUUCCCGGUGUAGCGGUGAAAUGCGCAGAUAUCGGGAAGAACACCCGUGGCGAAGGCGGCUCUCUGGGACGGUACUGACGCUGAGACGCGAAAGCCAGGGGAGCAAACGGG